UCCUGCCCAAUGAUUAUUUAAAUGGCUGCAGUAUACUGACUGUGCAAAGGUAGCAUAAUAAUUAGUCUUUUAAUUGAGGACUUGUAUGAAUGGAUUUAUGUGGGAUUUAUUUUAUUAAUUUUAUAUUUAAAAUUUAAUUUUUAAGUAAAAAAGCUUAUGUAUUUUUUCGGGACGAUAAGACCCUAUAGAACUUUAAUUUUAUUUUUAAUGAUUAUUAAUUUAGGUUUAUUAUUGUUUUAUUGAUUUUGAUAUUUUUGUUGGGGUGAUGAAUAAAUAUUUAACUUUAUUUUUUGUUCUCAUUAAUUUAUGCUUUUUUUGAUCCAUUUUAAUGAUUUUAAGAUUAAGUUACCUUAGGGAUAACAGCGUAAUUUUGAUGGGGAGUUCAUAUUUAUAUUAAAGUUUGCGACCUCGAUGUUGAAUUAAGAUAAUUUUAGGGUGUAG
Molecule: ribosomal RNA, 441 nt
Filed under: Mesogonia atramentatula
Lineage: Eukaryota; Metazoa; Arthropoda; Insecta; Hemiptera; Cicadellidae
Description: partial large subunit ribosomal RNA
Source: RNAcentral